GAUGAAGAACGCAGCGAAAUGCGAUACUUGGUGUGAAUUGCAGAAUCCCGUGAACCAUCGAGUUUUUGAACGCAAGUUGCGCCCGAAGCCACUAGGCCGAGGGCACGCCUGCCUGGGCGUCACACGCCGUUGCCCCCCCAUCUACUCCUUCGGGAUUGCGGGGGGGCGGAUGAUGGCCUCCCGUGCGCCUAGCCGCGCGGUUGGCAUAAAUACCAAGUCCUCGGCGACGCACGCCACGACAAUCGGUGGUUGCGAAACCUCGGUUGCCCGUCGUGUGCGUUCGUCGCGCAUCGAGGGCUCGAAAAAAUGCUCGGCUCCGGCUGGGCUUUCAACGCGACCCCAGGUCAGGCGGGGUUACCCGCUGAAUUUAAGCAUAUCAAUAAGCGGAGGA
This 391-nucleotide unclassified non-coding RNA is filed under the name soil metagenome. RNAcentral describes it as "partial contains 5.8S ribosomal RNA, internal transcribed spacer 2, and large subunit ribosomal RNA". The stretch from base 1 to 122 matches the Rfam family "5.8S ribosomal RNA", at positions 35 to 154 of the family's 154-position model. The record is from RNAcentral.